GACCCGGAGAAGGUGACGCGCAUCACAAUGGCCCCUUCUAGAACCGGCUCGUCGCCGUGCGGCUCCUGGAGACGCGCACAGCAGUUGGACUGCUCCCGAGCCAACACUGCUUGGAGUCAGGUCACACCUGUGUCCUUGGUGUCACCCUGACCGCAAGGCUACAGAAGACUGGACAGUCUUUUAUCCCGGGAGAAAAAUAUGGGAUCCUUUGGAAAGAGAGGAAGGGCAUCUCAGGAGGAGGGACAAGGAUGGAGAUGCAUCCCUCUGCCAUCCUGCCUCGAGCACUGCCGCACGCGGGAGCCGAGGCCCGAAGCAGGCAGCCAGACAGGGCAGCAGAUGUUUGCCACAGCAGAGUCAAGGGCCUGGGACGCUGUGUGGCGGCAGCAGCUGCGGCUGCAGCGGGCAGGCCAGGAGCGGGUAAGACCAUCCACCGCUCGGUCUCCCCCACGCACAACCCACCCUCCCUUCUAUGCCCCGGGGUCAAAAAUGAGUAGUU
Alligator mississippiensis (American alligator) is the source of this 496-nucleotide long non-coding RNA. RefSeq lists it as uncharacterized. NCBI's taxonomy places the organism in Eukaryota, Metazoa, Chordata, Crocodylia, Alligatoridae. The record is from RefSeq and is a predicted model, not a curated record. The transcript has 3 exons.